CCUACGGGUGGCAGCAGUGAGGAAUAUUGGUCAAUGGACGAGAGUCUGAACCAGCCAAGUAGCGUGAAGGAUGACUGUCCUAUGGGUUGUAAACUUCUUUUAUAUGGGAAUAAAACGUUCCACGUGUGGGAUUUUGUAUGUACCAUAUGAAUAAGGAUCGGCUAACUACGUGCCAGCAGCCGCGGUAAUACGGAGGAUCCGAGCGUUAUCCGGAUUUAUUGGGUUUAAAGGGAGCGUAGGUGGAUUGGUAAGUCAGUUGUGAAAGUUUGCGGCUCAACCGUAAAAUUGCAGUUGAAACUGGCAGUCUUGAGUACAGUAGAGGUGGGCGGAAUUCGUGGUGUAGCGGUGAAAUGCUUAGAUAUCACGAAGAACUCCGAUUGCGAAGGCAGUUCACUGGACUGCAACUGACACUGAGGCUCGAAAGUGUGGGUAUCAAACAGGAUUAGAUACCCUGGUAGUC
Molecule: ribosomal RNA, 460 nt
Filed under: uncultured bacterium
Lineage: Bacteria
Description: partial 16S ribosomal RNA
Rfam family: Bacterial small subunit ribosomal RNA
Source: RNAcentral